RNAcentral lists this long non-coding RNA (205 nucleotides) under Elaeis guineensis (African oil palm). Its description in RNAcentral is "long non-coding RNA (EGUI_LNC082645)". The record is from RNAcentral. Lineage: Eukaryota; Viridiplantae; Streptophyta; Magnoliopsida; Arecales; Arecaceae.
ACAAGGGCCAGACUCCGAGCUUCUACUGCAAGCGAUCUACUCAGAGCUUCUACUGCAAGAGAUCUACUCCGAGCUUCUACUGUAGGCUUCGACCGAGCUUCCUUGACAAAUGAUCCCCAUCCGGGCUCCUACAGAGAUCGGACUCCGAUCGAACUUCUAUAGCGGAUAGAUUCUGAACGAACUCCUACGACACAUAGACUCCAGC